This 253-nucleotide ribosomal RNA is filed under the name uncultured bacterium. Its description in RNAcentral is "partial 16S ribosomal RNA". It matches the Rfam family "Bacterial small subunit ribosomal RNA", at positions 524 to 776 of the family's 1533-position model. The record is from RNAcentral.
UACGUAGGUUGCAAGCGUUAAUCGGAAUUACUGGGCGUAAAGCGUGCGCAGGCGGUUUUGUAAGUCUGACGUGAAAUCCCCGGGCUCAACCUGGGAAUUGCAUUGGAGACUGCAAGGCUAGAAUCUGGCAGAGGGGGGUAGAAUUCCACGUGUAGCAGUGAAAUGCGUAGAGAUGUGGAGGAACACCGAUGGCGAAGGCAGCCCCCUGGGUCAAGAUUGACGCUCAUGCACGAAAGCGUGGGGAGCAAACAGG